CGGGGUGUAGCGCAGUUGGUAGCGCGCCUGGUUCGGGACCAGGAGGUCGUGGGUUCAAGUCCCGCCACCCCGACCA
RNAcentral lists this transfer RNA (76 nucleotides) under Candidatus Abawacabacteria bacterium RIFCSPHIGHO2_01_FULL_46_8. RNAcentral describes it as "tRNA-Pro". It matches the Rfam family "tRNA". Rfam says of the family: Transfer RNA (tRNA) molecules are approximately 80 nucleotides in length. Their secondary structure includes four short double-helical elements and three loops (D, anti-codon, and T loops). Lineage: Bacteria; Candidatus Abawacaibacteriota. The record is from RNAcentral.